Molecule: ribosomal RNA, 429 nt
Filed under: Chloroflexota bacterium
Lineage: Bacteria; Bacillati; Chloroflexota
Description: Chloroflexi bacterium partial 16S ribosomal RNA
Rfam family: Bacterial small subunit ribosomal RNA
Source: RNAcentral
UGGGGAAUAUUGCACAAUGGGCGCAAGCCUGAUGCAGCCAUGCCGCGUGUAUGAAGAAGGCCUUCGGGUUGUAAAGUACUUUCAGUCGGGAGGAAGGUGGUAAGGUUAAUAACCUUAUCAAUUGACGUUACCGACAGAAGAAGCACCGGCUAACUCCGUGCCAGCAGCCGCGGUAAUACGGAGGGUGCAAGCAUUAAUCGGAAUUACUGGGCGUAAAGCGCACGCAGGCGGUUUGUUAAGUCAGAUGUGAAAUCCCCGGGCUCAACCUGGGAACUGCAUCUGAUACUGGCAAGCUUGAGGCUCGUAGAGGGGGGUAGAAUUCCAGGUGUAGCGGUGAAAUGCGUAGAGAUCUGGAGGAAUACCGGUGGCGAAGGCGGCCCCCUGGACGAAGACUGACGCUCAGGUGCGAAAGCGUGGGGAGCAAACAGG